UUACUGGAGUAAGUAAGCCCUUAAGGGUGUCUCUACACCCAGCGCCCUAAAACCAUCUGGUUUGAGAGUCGUUGGUCGAAAGCUCGUUACAUAGGUAAUAUUGAAAUGCCUAAGAGAACUAGACAUUGUACAGUCAAGUGUAAACACGAGAAAGAGCAUAAAUGCCCUCGUGAGCAAAGAAAAGAAGAAAUAAAUCCUGUAUUGACUUUGAAUUGGGUGAUCGAGUAGUUUUAGCUGGAGCUUAACUUGUGAACGGAGUUUUUAAAGUUAAAAUUGUGUUUUUUUUCUCUAAGAAGCAUAUUAUGCGAUGUAUUUGAACUGUAGUUUAUUUUAAUGGUUGCUAAGCACACACACCAUGCAUCAGUAAUAACAGGCUUUGAUUUAUGGAUUGGUAUGGGUUAUUGAAUUGUCUUGUUUGGAUGUGUUGUUUGAAUCUAUUGUUGAUACCUCCGAGGCAUAUUUGUUUGAUUUCGUACUGACUGAUGGUUGGAUUUGUAGGCAUAUAGUUAAGAUGCAUUUUUUAUUUGCAUUGCUUGGGGACAAGCAAUUGGUUAAGUUUGGGGGUAUUUGAUGAGUAGGUUUUAUACCUAUGAAUUCGAUAUUAUUAAACUUAAUUAUUGAUAUCUUUAAGUGUUUAGUAUCUCUUUGUGUUUUUUGUGUUUAUUUCUUGUAGGUUGGAAGGACAAAUUGGUCAUUUGGAAGAAGAAAAAGAUCAAAAAUCAUUAAAAUUAGAGCUGAGUGACAUUUUUGUAAUACGUGGUCCUGACCAAGCUCCUAGUUGCUUGGAUUUUUACUUGGUUGAGCGCCUAGGCGCUCAUGCACGAUCAAAGUUGGAUUUUAAAUGCAAGAUAUAAUAAAUAAUUCAAUAAAAACCAACUUUCAUUCAAUGGGAAGGUUUAAUUUAAACUAUAUACCAAGUUCCGUUGCAAUCUUAAUUAAAAUUUACUUAAUGAUAAUAAAGGAAAACAUUAUGCAAAUUAAUAAUCCAGACAUCCUAGUUAAUUACAAAUAUAAAAUUAGAGAAAAGAUUAGAUGAACUUGUCAGAUUGCUCCUAGUCCUCUACUUGUUCUUUAGCCUCUGCAAUAUCCUUCGUGUUCUCCCCGUUGGUCUCUUUGCAAAUCUCUUAAUAAUCUCCUUCCUGAAGUCUUUUCCUAUUUGUAUUGGUCCCAACCCUCAUCAAGAUUCCUAAUUAGCUUCAAAAACAACUCAGCAGUAGAAAAAUGCCAUUCGGCUCUAAUUUUAAUGAUUUUUGAUCUUUUUCUUCUUUUAAAUGACCAAUUUGUCCCUCCAACUCCAACCUUCAAGAAAUAAACACAAAAACACAUAAAAAGAUACUAAAUACACUUAAAGAUGACAAUAAUUAAGUUUAAUAAUAUCGGAUUCAUAGGUAUAAAGCCUACUCAUCAAAUACCCCAAACUUAAUCAAUUCCUUGUCCCCAAGCAAUGCAAAAAAAAAAGCAUCCUAACUAUAUGCGUACAAAUCCAGCCAUCUGUCAGUACGAAAUCAAACAAAUAUACCUCAGGGGUAUCAACAAUAGAUUCAAACAAUACAUCCAAACAAGACAAUUCAAUAACUCAUACCAAUCCAUAAAUCAAAUCUUGUUAUUACUGAUGCAAGGUGUGUAUGCUUAGCAACCAUUAAAAUCAACUAUAGUUUAAAUAUAUUGCAUAAUAUGCUUCUUAGAGGAAAAGAUACAGUUUUAAGUUAGGAAACUUCGUUCACAAACUAAGCUCCAACUAAAUUUACACAAUAACCAAAUUCAGAGUCAAUACGGUAUUUAUUUCUUCUUUUAUUUGCUCACGAGGGCAUUUAUGAUCUUUCUUGUGUUUACACUUGACUGUGCAAUGUCUAGUUCUAUUAGGCUUUUCAAUGUUAUCCAUGUAACGAGCUUUCGACCAAUGAGUCCAAAACUAGAUGGCUUUAGGGCGCUGAGUGUAGAGACACCCCUAAGGGCUUACUCCAGUAACAAAGGCCACAAAACUAAACUAGUCAACAUGUUUAUUCAUAUGAUUAUUUUUUGUAUUUUCUAUUUUUUUUCUUAUUUAAAAAUCCCAUAUUUUCCCCCAAACUUGAUUUUUUGCGUCAUCCUAACUUUUACUACAAGUUUACCGAUUUUCCUUCAUUAAAACCAAGAUUUCCCGAAGAAGACAAUUUUGCGAUCAUUUAAUCUAAGUUUAUCAAAAUGAUCAACCUAACGUGCUAUCUUGUUACAUCAGUUUCAAACAGGAUAAGAUUUACAUAAUUAUUCGACACUACAUUCAUGUCUCAGUUGUAAUACUGUUCAAAUGUAUACGCGAUCCCAAUCUCAUCAUUGGCCAAGUCAAACUCGCACUAAUUGACAUGUUCGGAUUCAUGCAUUUUUUUUAGAAAUUAGAAUGACAACUACAAAUGAGUUAUGAUAAACGAAUGCAAAUACUAAAUGAAUGCAACUAAAUGAUUGUAAUACAACUAGAAGAAUGCACCCCCAAACUUAACAUAUGCAAUGUCCUCAUUGUAUAUAAAAAAACCCAUAAGAAAUUAGGUAUUGAGGACUUCCUUGAAAGAUCGAAGCCUUACUCCUCGUCAGCAUCCUCUGCUUAUUCUUCAUCAACCUCAUCCUCAGGGGGUAAGUCAUUCGGGGUACACAGACAAGGGUGGAGGUGGUCGGAAUUGGUAAGGACCACCUGCUGGAUUCAUGCGGUUGAACAUCUCUAUGAAUGAUGCAUUAUAGUUCUGAUAUAUCUCCGCUUGUCGUUGAGCCAGUCUAUUCUGCUUCUUAUCCACCCGGUCAAAACCCUGUUCAAUUUGGGUGGCCACCAUGUCAAUCCGUCUAGUUUGAUGUCUCAAUUCUCGACGAAUAUCCUCAAAAAAAUUUGGUGCUGGCACGUAACUCUCAGUUGUAGUAGGAUUGUUUUUUGACUGUUCAUUAGUCUCGUCAACAGGAUCUGGAGGCACAAUAAUGAAACCUAAUCCUCUCGGGUGUGGCUUAACCCCAACCCAUACCUUGUACUUUUUUAUAACCGAGUGGUCAAUUGUGGCUAAAGGAGGUUGUCUUGCUUCCUCGGCUUCCCACUUUACUCCAACUUAUUGACACAGUCCAGUAAUCAAAAAUGGAUGAGACAGUCCACCUGAAGUCCCUCCUUGAAUUGUUCUGUCGAUUGAAUCAUGUAUAACCUGACCCACAUCUAUAGUUUUUCCUUUUGAAAUGUAGAAAAGCAACGCUGCCCGUUGAUUUAUGACAUCACUCAUAGGCCUACACGACAUCAACUUGGCACAAAUAAAGACAUGCCAUGCUUUCCCGUAACUACUCGGUGCGGAUGCAGGAAUAAGAACUGCUUCUUGCUGAUUCGGUAAUUUUCAUUUUGUUUCAGGUACACACAAUGCUUGAAUGAUCACACUAGCACUUGUGAAUCUCUUUUUGUCAAACUUUGUUGAAGUGAGGAAAGGAAGUAUGAGUUUCACGUGGUGUACGAAGAGAAAAGAGAGGAGUUUUAGAUGAACUAGGAGAGAAAAUAGAGUUUGAUUUGGGUUGAAAGGAGUGAUGCCCGGUUAAGGCUUAAUUUUUUUUUUUAAAGUCUGGGCAGGAGUGCCUAGGCACUUGAUUUUGUAUGGGAUUGACCGCCUAGGCGCUUGAUGACAGAACGUGUUGGUCAAGUAUAGCGACUAGGCGCUUGGAAUGGGCAUGGAGUGAGUGCUUAGACGCUUGGGGAUUGCUGAGUGUUCUGCAUUUGAACACCUAGGCGCUUGUGCCUGACUUGGUGGAUUUUGUGCGUCUUCCAUGCUUCAAACCUGCAUAUCAAAGCUUCAAUUCUCAGUUUUUAGAUUACGAGUUAUACUAAAACCCUAAACUAAGAUAAAAUAUGAUUAAUUUCUUUUAUUUUAGUAUGUUAGUUUAGUUAACUAUAUAUUUUAUCUUAGUUUAGGGUUUGAGUAUAAGUUGUAAUCUCCUUGCAAACAAAAACUGAGAAUUGAAGCUUUGAUAUGUAGGUUGGAAGCAUGGAAGACACAAAUUGAGAAUUGAAGCUUUGAUAUGUAGGUUGGAAACAUGGAAGACGUACAAAAUCCACCAAGUCAGUCCCAAGCGCUUAGGCGCCCAAACCAUGCACAAAACAAGCGACUAGGCGCUCAAAUGCAGAACACUCAACAUUCCCUAAACGCCUAGGCGCUACACUUGACUAACACGUUCUGUCUUCAAGCCCCUAGGCGGUCAAUCCCAUUUAAAAUCAAGCGCCAAGCUCCUGCUAAGACUUUGAAAAAAAAUUUAAGCCCUAAUCGAGCAUCACUCCUUUCAACCCAAAUCAAACUAUUUUCUCUCCUAGUUCAUCUAAAACUCCUCUAUUUUCUCUUCCUACACCACGUGAAACUCAUACUUCCCUUUCUUCACUGUUAAUGCGUCCGAAAGGUAUCAGAAUUGGCUUUCUGGUAAAACGCUAAUUCCUGAGCGUGGAUUAUUGCCAGAGGCAGAAGAUGGGGAGUUGCUACAAAUGAUUGGAAGCAAAGAUGGGUGAAUUUUACAGCUCAACCGGAUCCGUCGGUCAUAAAAAUUGUUAAGGAAUUCUACGCCAAUGCAAAAGAUGUUGUCAGUAACAUGAUUUGCAUUCGUUUAGCAUAACUCAUUCAUCUUGUAGUUUUGCAUGUAGUUGUCAUUCUAGUUUCUAAAAAAAAUGCAUGAAUCUGAGCAUGUCAAUUAGUGCGAGUUUGACUUGGCCAAUGAUGAGAUUGGGAUCGCGUAUACAUUUGAACAGUAUUACAACUGAGACAUGAAUGUAGUGUCGUAUCAUGAUGUAAAUCUUAUCCUGUUUGAAACUGAUGUAACAAGAUAACACGUUAGGUUGAUCAAAUUAGUUUAAAUGAUCGCAUAAUUGUUUCUUGGGGGAAGUCUUGUUUUUAAUGGAGGGAAAUCGGUAAACUUGUAGUAAAAGCUAGGAUGACACAAAAAUUUAAGUUUGGGGGAAAAUAUGAGAUUUUUAAAUUAAAAAAAAUUAAAGGAAAAUUCAGGAAAAAAAUCCAUAUGAAUAAACACGUUCAAUUGGUUUAGUUAUGUGUCCUUUGUUACUGGAGUAAGUAAGCCCUUAAGGGUGUCUCUACACCCAGCGCCCUAAAACCAUCUGGUUUGAGAGUCGUUGGUCGAAAGCUCGUUACAUAGGUAAUAUUGAAAAGCCUAAGAGAACUAGACAUUGCACGGUCAAGUGUAAACACGAGAAAGAGCAUAAAUGCCCUCGUGAGCAAAGAAAAGAAGAAAUAAAUCCCGUAUUGACUCUGAAUUUGGUGAUAGAGUAGUUUUAGCUGGAGCUUAACUUGUGAACGGAGUUUUUUAAGUUAAAAUUGUGUUUUUUUCUCUAAGAAGCAUAUUAUGCGAUGUAUUUGAACUGUAGUUUAUUUUAAUGGUUGCUAAGCACACACCCUGCAUCAGUAAUAACAGGCUUUGAUUUAUGGAUUGGUAAGGGUUAUUGAAUUGUCUUGUUUGGAUGUGUUGUUUGAAUCUAUUGUUGAUAGCUCCGUGGCAUAUUUGUUUGAUUUCGUACUGACUGAUGGCUGGAUGUGUAGGCAUAUAGUUAAGAUGCAUUUUUUAUUUGCAUUGCUUGGGGACAAGCAAUUGGUUAAGUUUGGGGGUAUUUGAUGAGUAUGUUUUAUACCUAUGAAUCCGAUAUUAUUAAACUUAAUUAUUGAUAUCUUUAAGUGUUUAGUAUCUCUUUGUGUUUUUUGUGUUUAUUUCUUGUAGGUUGGAGGGA
This 5713-nucleotide long non-coding RNA is filed under the name Panax ginseng (ginseng). RNAcentral's name for it is "long non-coding RNA (PGIN_LNC018905)". The record is from RNAcentral. Lineage: Eukaryota; Viridiplantae; Streptophyta; Magnoliopsida; Apiales; Araliaceae.